ACGCCUAGACAUGGCCGACGCGGGUCGUGUCGAAGUGUAAUGUCUAUUCUGAACAGUUUAGCAUCUGAUACGGGUCGUGUUUGUAUCCUAGAUAUUAAACUUAUUUUUGCAAGUUGGUGGAUUGCUUAAAGCCUGCUUGACUUUCGCCGCGGGUCUGCCGGGAAUCGCACUAUCUUCGGGAUCGACCCAUGGUUU
Molecule: non-coding RNA, 195 nt
Organism: Dermacentor albipictus
Lineage: Eukaryota; Metazoa; Arthropoda; Arachnida; Ixodida; Ixodidae
Source: RefSeq, a predicted model, not a curated record